Molecule: ribosomal RNA, 120 nt
Filed under: Cebus imitator (Panamanian white-faced capuchin)
Lineage: Eukaryota; Metazoa; Chordata; Mammalia; Primates; Cebidae
Source: RNAcentral
CCACAUACCCACCAUCCCGGAACAGGCCUGAUCUCAUCUGGUCUUGGAAGCUAAGCAGGGUACGGCCUGGUUAGUGUUUGGAUGGGAGACACUGCUUGGGUAUACCGGGUGCUAUAUAGG